Molecule: long non-coding RNA, 720 nt
Filed under: Homo sapiens (human)
Lineage: Eukaryota; Metazoa; Chordata; Mammalia; Primates; Hominidae
Description: HSALNT0361344
Source: RNAcentral
GGGAGACGGCGCCCAACCUUCCUCUGCAGCGCCCCUACCGACCCGCGCUCCGCAGCUCCUGAGGGCUUUCGAGCCCAGAUGGUCAUCUGAGACGAGAGGUGGCGGCGAAGGAGAGUCUCGCCUGUCACGCUCCCGGAGCAGGGGCUUCAUGAGGUGGCCAUGGAAACAGCCUGGCAGACUCCCAUCUCUCCUGGUGCCAUCUCCGGAGCGGAAAGUGGAGCGCCCCGCUGGCGACCAAGGCCGCACUGAGAGCCCUGGUUUGGUCAACAGUUGGGCUCCAAGUCUACAGGUUUCUAGGCCCUUGGUGAGUGAAGAGCAGUUCAUUACGAAAUGACCUCCAAGAACAAGGCUCAGCAUUCUCUGAAAUCUCAUGAAGCAGUGUAACCAGCUCUCAAGUAUCUUCCUGUGAACUAGCCACAGGGAGCCCUGGUAUUCCUUGAACAUGCAUACCUUUCCCAGCGUGAGGGACAUGGACCGUGCCGUGCGAGGGACCCCAUCUUCUGCAGCAGGAGGGAGCAGAGAAGAGAACACAGCCACCCUCAUCAGCCAGAGUUCAAACCCUGACAGUGCCCAUGGAGAGAUCUGGUCCAAGGCACCAACCUCUUCCUGCUGGACUGAGAAAGAGCCUCCUACUGUGUCUCUCUUUACCUCAGCUUUUGCACACCUCCAAUAUAUUGUCCACUGAAGUCAGAAUAAUCUAAAAAUAAAGGCUGAUUACCU